UCAACUUGAGAGUUUGAUCCUGGCUCAGAACGAACGCUGGCGGCAGGCUUAACACAUGCAAGUCGAAC
Molecule: ribosomal RNA, 68 nt
Filed under: Gillisella terrae
Lineage: Bacteria; Pseudomonadati; Pseudomonadota; Alphaproteobacteria; Hyphomicrobiales; Rhizobiaceae
Also listed under: 1 other name
Description: Rhizobium sp. CC-HIH110 partial 16S ribosomal RNA
Rfam family: Bacterial small subunit ribosomal RNA
Source: RNAcentral